Molecule: unclassified non-coding RNA, 389 nt
Filed under: Basidiomycota sp.
Lineage: Eukaryota; Fungi; Basidiomycota
Description: partial contains small subunit ribosomal RNA, internal transcribed spacer 1, and 5.8S ribosomal RNA
Rfam family: Eukaryotic small subunit ribosomal RNA (bases 1-47)
Source: RNAcentral
AAAGUCGUAACAAGGUUUCCGUAGGUGAACCUGCGGAAGGAUCAUUACUGAACCAACACCGUCCACCUUCUUGUAGUGGACCAUUCAACGGCCUGUCAUCGGAAUUUGAUGAUGAUCAACUCGGCUCGUUGCCCAACAUUGGGCGAUGGGUGAUUCUUGAUUUUGAUGCUCAUUUACCAGGUUGGAUUGAAACGCUCAUCACUUAGUGCCUACAUGCGGCAGACCUGUGUUGGAUGGGUGCCUUUUUCAAGAGGUUGAAGUUGGUCAGAUGUCGUGGUGGCAGGCCUUUGGUCUCCUAUGAAUUUCUUUUCCACCACACAGAACUGUCAUCGUACGGUGUUGCCGCUAAACAAAUAAUAUAACUUUCAACAACGGAUCUCUUGGCUCUC